GGUAAAAUGAUCUUCCUAAUCACAUUUGCCAAUGAGAUGUUUAAUAUAUUCUACAGUAAUACACCCGUAUUCCGGAGACUAUACAGUAGAUGACAUUUCAACUGAUUAUAAUAGCUUUGCUUGGCUGUUCUAGAUUGCCAGAAGCAUCAUGGCAUGGGUUUCCAAAGCCGAGGAGCUGCAUGCAAGCCUUACAUCAUCUAGCACAAAGCCAGGCCAAGCAUGGAAUGAUGAAGUUCUCAGUUAGAGGACCAGGAUGACCUGAUGCUUUGAAAGGUUUUAGCUGGAGCUAGGAAUAACUAGUUUUAUGGACUCCACAUAAACUUUAAUGGGAAGAGAGGCUGAAACCCUUGUCUCUACUUUACACUAAACUUACAAAAACUUCCUGUUCCUCUGAUGAAGAAAGGCUGGACCAGAACAAGGUUCCAAGUAGUGUGCAUGUCUGUGCUACCCCCCACUGCUCACAGCCAUACGGUAUAAAACAGUCUAAAAUAUUCAUAACUUUAUAUUAUGAAAGUC
Long non-coding RNA from Hyla sarda, 516 nucleotides. RefSeq lists it as uncharacterized. Lineage: Eukaryota; Metazoa; Chordata; Amphibia; Anura; Hylidae. The transcript is spliced from 3 exons. The record is from RefSeq and is a predicted model, not a curated record.